Molecule: non-coding RNA, 285 nt
Organism: Anas platyrhynchos (mallard)
Lineage: Eukaryota; Metazoa; Chordata; Aves; Anseriformes; Anatidae
Source: RefSeq, a predicted model, not a curated record
GGGUGAGGGCACCCCUCUGAGUCCUUGACACCCCCCCGGGACCCCCUCCUCACCUUCACUUCUGCCAGCUUGGUGCCGCGGGCGCAGUCCCACACCGACAUCAUGUGCUCGUUGGAGUCGUCCACCACGCACAGGCCGGGCUUCACCAGCGCACGCAGUCGCUGUGGCGCAGGUAGUGGCGCUGGCGGCGGAGGGGGACGUGGAGGAGGACGACGACGCAGGCGAUGAAGUAAACCAGCUCGCCCGACGCCAGCACGUGCAGGUUGGAGCGGCUGUCCCGGCCCC